AUUUUUAUGGUGUAAAUAACACAUGGUCCUUUCAAGACCAAGCUAACUACCCGUUUAAAAAUA
Molecule: transfer RNA, 63 nt
Filed under: Gammarus chevreuxi
Lineage: Eukaryota; Metazoa; Arthropoda; Malacostraca; Amphipoda; Gammaridae
Description: tRNA-Glu
Source: RNAcentral